Molecule: non-coding RNA, 119 nt
Organism: Gossypium hirsutum (cotton)
Lineage: Eukaryota; Viridiplantae; Streptophyta; Magnoliopsida; Malvales; Malvaceae
Source: Rfam
GGGUGCGAUCAUUCCAUCACUAAUGCAUUAGAUCCCAUCAGAACUCCACAGUUAAGUGUGCUUGGGCGAGAGCAGUACUAGGAUGGGUGACCUUGUGGGAAGUUCUCGUGUUGAACCCC